CAAGGGUACAGGCUCAGGUCCAGAGUGCCUGGGUUUGGAUCCUGGCUCUGCCACCUGCUGUGUGUUCUUAUGUAGGUCACCUCACCAAUCUGUGCCUCAGUUUUCUUAUCUCUUAGAUCUCUCAGAUUGUGAGGAUUAAGCGGGUGAACAUGUUUGUUGCUCAGAUAGUACCUGAUAUAUAGCCUUGUCUGAUUUAUUGCAUAUCAACUCCUGAUUUCCAUUGUGGCACUCAUUAACUGGGAAAAUAAAAGUAUGAUUCUUUAAUGUUAAAGAUUUUGCUCAGGAAGUUGAGUGAUUUUCCCGAAGAUCAAAGAGUUAGUCAAUGGAAGGUCUGAGCCUAGAAGAUAAUCUUUUUAAACUCUAAUUUAGUGCUCUUCUGCUAAGAUCUUUGCUUUUCUCUUCAUUCACUCAGAACACUAAUGAUGUAUUUGAGUAUUUGGGGCUGAAAAUCGGUAUAUUCUAUUUAUCAGAUUGUUUGCACCUUUUAAAUAAUUUAUUUGAAAGUGGUUGGGUGUGGUUCUGAGAGUUGCUAAUGAGGUUGUAGGAUGCCUUGCAGUUGAUUUCCAUGUAAUGGUCACAUUGGCAGUGAAGACAUCUUUCCAGUAUGUGCCAGACACUUUACGGCUGUUGUAGUGCAGGAAUGGGGCCCAAAUAUAAGCAAGACAUGGAUGAUCUUGUCUUUGAGAAUACACAGACCUGGUGACAGACAUGGAAAUCAAC
This 720-nucleotide long non-coding RNA is filed under the name Marmota monax (woodchuck). Lineage: Eukaryota; Metazoa; Chordata; Mammalia; Rodentia; Sciuridae. The record is from RNAcentral.